CCGAGUUUACAACUCCCAAACCCAAUGUGAACCAUACCAAACUGUUGCCUCGGCGGGGUCACGCCCCGGGUGCGUCGCAGCCCCGGAACCAGGCGCCCGCCGGAGGGACCAACCAAACUCUUUCUGUAGUCCCCUCGCGGACGUUAUUUCUUACAGCUCUGAGCAAAAAUUCCAAAAUGAAUCA
Molecule: ribosomal RNA, 184 nt
Filed under: Trichoderma harzianum
Lineage: Eukaryota; Fungi; Ascomycota; Sordariomycetes; Hypocreales; Hypocreaceae
Source: RNAcentral